CAGGUGCAUGCCUCUAGCAUGAAGUCAGA
Molecule: ribosomal RNA, 29 nt
Filed under: Symbiodinium sp. Two0410-9
Lineage: Eukaryota; Dinophyceae; Suessiales; Symbiodiniaceae
Description: partial 28S ribosomal RNA
Source: RNAcentral